CAGGUGUGGUCUGUGGAGUCCUGCCUGACUGAAAAUAUACUCUAUAGGAUCAUAAGAAAUUUCUUUUUCCUGUUCAUCACUGAGAUUUGAGAAGCACUGCUUCUCAAGGAUUAGUGUGAUUUGAAAAUGAAAAAGAAGAAGCAGCUGGUGAAAAACAAAUUCAGGCACUGAAAAUUGAAAAAGUUAGCACUGCUUUGCUGAGGGCUUGCUGGGGGCAGAGUGCAAGUUCAGCCAGACCAUUGGACCACUGUGGCAGACAUGAAUAAUAGGAAAUCCAGGAAGGAUUGGUUGAAUGGAAAGUUGAUGGUUUGUGAUUGUCAUGCCAUCGGGAAUAACCACCAAGUCUGCACAUGUGUGAACUGCCUUCUGAUGGCAGCAUUGUAAGAUGCUGGUGAUUGUGAAUCAAUUGAGCAUUACAUCCAUUACUGAACAGGAAACCUGAAGAACAGGGGUUAUUUUGAUCAUGGAUGUCAGAGGCAGGCAGUCUGGCCUCCUCUGCCCACUCUGUCCCACAGUGUCAUCAGGAGCCUCCAGCCCUCCCUGCUCUCUUGCCAGCCAGUCUCCACCUGGGCUUGUCAGAUCAUGAUUAGCCAGUUAGUAUUUAAGUUUGCUUUGGUAGAAGCAAUGGGAAGCAAAAAAGAAGCAUGGCCAUUGAGCUGGCCUUCCCUCAAAGAGGUUUUCUGGGACCUCUAAUAAUUUCCUCUUAGAUCUGCUCUCCAGCUAUGUCCUAUGGCUACUUCUGUCUCCAAGACAGGCUGGGAAGUGUAGUUUUUGGCUGAAGCAGCUAGUAAGGAAGAAGGAAAGAAAAAGAAGACCAACAAACUGUCUCUCAUGGGUGGACUUUGACUUUAGUAAAGAAUGAAUGUGCCGUGCUUAGACACUGUAGGCACUAGUACUUGAAAAACUGCUAUAUUGGUUUACUGGAUGCUGGGGCUGAGUUCUUGGUCUGGGGCCACCACUGCUUCCUGAUCCCUUGCAUCCAGAAAGACCCAGUUCCUUCUUGAGGUCCCCAGGAGCACUCUGGGCCUGGUCCCACCCUCGCCUCCCUCUGCUUUCCUGGGCCUGCACGACCUGCCAGCCUCCCUUUGGGUAAGUCAAUUGCCCACUGCGCCUUGACUCCCCCAGCCUCAUUCACCCUCUCAUCUCCCCCACCUGUCUCUCCUCCUAGCCUGGGUCCUGUCCCAUUCGUCGUCUUGGCACCUCAGACACGGGGGAACCAACAUUGCUUCAUGUUCCUUUGCAUCUAGACCAACCCAGUUCCCUUUUGGGGUCCCCAGGAGCCCUUGGGGCCUGGUCCCACCCUCACC
Molecule: long non-coding RNA, 1307 nt
Organism: Nannospalax galili (Upper Galilee mountains blind mole rat)
Lineage: Eukaryota; Metazoa; Chordata; Mammalia; Rodentia; Spalacidae
Exons: 3
Source: RefSeq, a predicted model, not a curated record